GUGUUUUAUAGGUGUGUGUGUCUGGAGUCCUGACCAGGUGUGUGUUUUAUAGGUGUGUGUGUCUGGAGUCCUGACCAGGUGUGUGUUUUAUAGGUGUGUGUCUGGAGUCCUGUCAUGGUGUGUGUUUUAUAGGUGUGUGUCUGGAGUCCUGACCAGGUGUGUGUUUUAUAGGUGUGUGUCUGGAGUCCUGUCAUGGUGUGUGUUUUAUAGGUGUGUGUCUGGAGUCCUGACCAGGUGUGUGUUUUAUAGGUGUGUGUCUGGAGUCCUGUCAUGGUGUGUGUUUUAUAGGUGUGUGUCUGGAGUCCUGUCAUGGUGUGUGUUUUAUAGGUGUGUGUGUCUCGAGUCCUGACCAGGUGUGUGUUUUAUAGGUGUGUGUCUGGAGUCCUGUCAUGGUGUGUGUUUUAUAGGUGUGUGUGUCUCGAGUCCUGACCAGGUGUGUGUUUUAUAGGUGUGUGUAACCUUGGCUCUUCCUUUCCUGUGGCGUUCCUCACGAGAGACAGUUAACUCUAAUGAAUUUCUCCUCUGCAGCAGAGGUAACCUUGGCUCUUCCUUUCCUCAUGAGAGACAGUUAACUCUAAUGAAUUUCUCCUCUGCAGCAGAGGUAACCUUGGCUCUUCCUUUCCUCAUGAGAGACAGUUAACUCUAAUGAAUUUCUCCUCUGCAGCAGAGGUAACCUUGGCUCUUCCUUUCCUCAUGAGAGACAGUUAACUCUAAUGAAUUUCUCCUCUGCAGCAGAGGUAACCUUGGCUCUUCCUUUCCUCAUGAGAGACAGUUUCAUCACUUUAAGGUUUUUACGACUGCACUUUUUCCCACAUUGACUGACCUUCAUGUCUUAAUGAAAUGAGAGCCUGUCAUUUCUCUUUGCUUAUUUGAGCUGUUCUUGCCAUAAUAUGGACAUGGUCUUUCACCAAAUAAGGCAAUCUGCUGUAUACCACCCCCUACCAUGUUACAACACAACUGAUUGGCUCAAACGCCAAGGAGGAAAGAAGGAAUGAAAUUCCACAAAUUAAGUUUUAUGAAGGAUUUAUUUAACACUUUGUUGGUUACUACAUGAUUCCAUAUGUGUUAUUUCAUAGUUUUGAUGUUUUCACUGUUAUUCUACAAUGUAGAAAAUAGUAAAAAAGAAAAACCCUUGAAUGAGUAGGUGUUCUAAAACUUCUGACUGGUAGUGUGUAUAUAUAUAUUUGUGUGUAUAUAUAAAACAUGUAUUAACAACAAAUCUAACACAAUAUAAAAACAUAUCUUAUAAAACAGUAAAACAAAUAAUUUUGGUGUGGCAGAUAGCCUAGUGGUUAGAGCGUUGGGCCAGUAACUGAAAGGUUGCUGGAUCGAAUCCCUGAGCUGACAAGGUAAAAAUCUGUAGUUCUGCCCCUGAACAAGGCAGUUAACCCACUGUUCCCUGGUAGGCCGAAAUCAGAAUUGAGCUGCCUGUGUCAACGCAGCCUACAAGCUUCAAUAUGAGGUCCUAAACCUAGUAUGAAAGUGCAUCCUUGUAGAUAUGUGGGCUAACAUAGUCAAAAUGUUUGCCUUGGGGAAAGUUGAGCCAAUGGCAAGUUGAGCAAAUUGCAUUUUGUCUUCCCAGGGCAAAGCAUUAUCGCUGGGAUAUGAAGUAACAACAACCUGUGUUAAAUAAAGCUAAAAAUUAAACAUAUACAAAUAAAUAAUAAUGCUUGUGUUUGGGUAAUAAAUCUCUACAUGGUUUUAAAAAGGUAGUGGUAAUAUUGAAUUCAGUACAGAACGUUGUAGGCAGCUUAAUUUACC
This is a long non-coding RNA of Oncorhynchus keta (chum salmon), 1761 nucleotides long. RefSeq lists it as uncharacterized. NCBI's taxonomy places the organism in Eukaryota, Metazoa, Chordata, Actinopteri, Salmoniformes, Salmonidae. The transcript is spliced from 7 exons. The record is from RefSeq and is a predicted model, not a curated record.